GAGGUUCCUGCGACUUAUUCUUUUAUUCUUUCCAUGCCCCUUGGCAAUCAUUAUUUCACCUGACCGUUUGAUCUUUUUUCUUGAAUGGGUUCCCUCGUGGCUGUUAGACGAGAUGUGAACCAUGACAUAUAGUUCAAUCUAUCUAAGAAACCACGAACCUCUCUUUUUUGUUCUCGGUUCAGGCAUUUUUUUUAUUUCUUUUUUUUUCUUCUUUCUUCUUUUUUUUUUUAGCAGGAUCAGCCUCGAUUCCUC
RNAcentral lists this long non-coding RNA (252 nucleotides) under Lathyrus oleraceus (garden pea). RNAcentral's name for it is "Pisum sativum (pea) long non-coding RNA (PSAT_LNC034608)". The record is from RNAcentral. Lineage: Eukaryota; Viridiplantae; Streptophyta; Magnoliopsida; Fabales; Fabaceae.